CAGUGGUUCUCUUGAAGGAGUAGCAGUGGUCCUCUGGAAGGAGUGGCAGUAGUCCUCUUGAAGGAGUGGCAGUGGUCCUCUUGAACUAGCGGUGGCGGCGGGGGUGGUAGUCCUCCACUAUGCUAAUACCUCCAGUAUAUCAGAGAAGCGUCUUACCUCGCCACUGCCACAAGUUUCACCUCUCCUAAACUCCCGUACUUUGCGCUAAAAUAUGAAACGUAAUAAAUCAACAUGUUUAUUUUACGGUACUUGGCGGCGGCGGCGGCGGCGGCUGCGGCGGCGAUGAGGCUGCUGCUGGCGAAAGCAGGCGAAUGAGCCGCCCUCUGCUGUUUACAGAGGGCGGAGGAGGCGGAGUCUGACUUGGCUGUGCGAUGGAUGACUCUUGCUGCCACUGCAACGUUUCUCUGUUAUUUCGUGUUUACUCCAAAUAUAUCCACUAUUCUUGCAUUUAUGUGUUGGUAGUCACUGCUCUGUGGGUCUGUCUGCGAGUGUGCUGUUAAUGUACGAUGAGACGAAGUGAGUUGUUGAGGGAUAAUGAAUGUGAUGGAAGAGUUGGUAAUCGCCAUGAUGGUAGCGAGGGAGAUGCUGUGUGAUUGGUCUUGAGAGAGACUCCUCCCUUGAUCACGGUAGCGCCGCCUCCGCCGCCUCCAUCCUAUAAAUACCAAGCUUCAUAACGGCUCGCUAGAUUUCUCAUUACCCUGGUGUUGUGGGGACUGCUGCUGUGUGUCUCACUCUCUCUCUCUCUUUCUCAUUGGCCAACAUGGAGAAGCCGUCGCCUGUGUCGGAGCACAAGCCCAGGUUGUCCUUUAGUAUAGACUCCAUCCUGGGGCGUCGCCACACCCCUGUCAGUUCCUCCACAACGUCCCCGGAGCUAGAUUGUCGUCCCGCCUCAUCGUGCAGUGCUUCCAGCGACGCCUCCUGUCGUCCCGCCUCGUCGUGCAGUGCCUCCAGCGACGUGUCGUUCCUCAGUCAGGACUCCGAGCGGUCGCAGAGUCCCGCAGCAGCGGCGGCGGCGGCAGUGCGUCCCCUCCAGCAAAUGGUUCCUUCACAGUGGUUCCCUGCUCAUCCUUACUUCCAGUUCGCCGCCUCCGCUCAUGGUGGUCCUACCCUGCCUAAGCUGCCCAGCUCUGUGGUGUUGCGGAAACACAAACCCAACAGGAAGCCACGGACGCCCUUCACCUCGGAACAACUGCUGGCGCUGGAGAAGAAGUACCGUGAGAAGCAGUACCUGAGCAUCGCUGAGCGGGCAGAGUUCUCCGCCUCGCUCAACCUGACGGAGACGCAGGUCAAGAUCUGGUUUCAGAACCGCCGCGCCAAGGACAAGCGCCUGAAGGAAGCCGAACUGGAGCGACUGACGAGGCCUCUGUACCCGGCCUACGGCGGCCUCCUGCCCCUGGGAGGCCACCUGCCCUCCUUGCCUCUCCAGCGACCCCUCGUGCCCCUCCUCGGGUAGUGCACUGUGAUGCGCGUCCCUGAGGUAGCCUCAGCAGCUCCGGCUGCUAUCUCCGUCAGGCUGCACCUCCCACACCUCCGUCAGGCUGCACCUCCCACACCUCCGUCCAGCCUACAGUCAUCCUCACACAGAUUCAUCAGUCGCUCUUGGUUACGCCGCCCACACCACACCCAUGCCGCCCACACCACACCCAUGCCGCCCACAUCACAACCAUGCCGCCCACUUAACUCACGCCCACACCACCCACACCCCACCACCCUACAUGACCCUUACCCCCCCCACCAACACAUACACCAACGACGCUAACACUGCCCACGCCGCCCACACGCCCACGCCGCCCGCACGCCCACGCCCUCACUGCUGCAAGACGGAGUUAUUAACUGUGAUAAUAAUAAUACAUCUCUGCAGUAAAUGUAAAAUUAUUUAUUUUGUAAAUAUUAAAAAUAAAA
Cherax quadricarinatus is the source of this 1902-nucleotide non-coding RNA. Lineage: Eukaryota; Metazoa; Arthropoda; Malacostraca; Decapoda; Parastacidae. The record is from RefSeq and is a predicted model, not a curated record.